ACCUAUAGCUUUACUUCAUAACCAAACUAAUACUCUUAAGCUAUUUUCUAAAUCAAAUAAAACUCUCUUUUGCUAAAAUUUCAAGGGAAGUCAAUAAUGAAACCAUUUGCAGCCUUUGUUCUUAUCUUCUUGCUUGCCUUGACCUUAGAGGGUGUGGGGCCAAGAGUGGCAGAAGGAUUCUUGGGAAUUGGAAAGAAAUGCAAAGUUCCAAGUAAAACAAAAAAAGGGCCAUGCGCAAGUGAUUCCAACUGUGACGCCAUUUGCAGGUCGGAGGGAAUGAGAGCAGGAAUUUGCCAUGGCUUUCGCAGGAGAUGCCUUUGCUGUCCUCAUUAGGGUUCCAUCAUCGACUAUGAUGACUUAAGUACUCUCUCCGUCUGAAAUUAAUAGUCAUGUUUGAACUGCCGUUCAAACUAACUAACGUAACUUGAACUGCCGUUCAAACUAACUAAUGUAACUUAAAUCGGACCGAUGAAGUUAGAGAGUACCAUUAUCUAUCAAUCUAUCUAGCUCCAUGUACUGGCAAUUUGUUUACCUUAUAUAUUCUGGUCUGAAUGAGUUGUUUUUCUAGCUAGUUUCUAUUAAAGUGUUGUAUGAGAGUUGUUUUUCUUGUAAAAUUAAAGUGUGCAUCAUGAAUGGAGCCAUGUAGGCGUUACCUUUGAGUAAUAUAUUUCCUACGAACUCACA
Chenopodium quinoa (quinoa) is the source of this 684-nucleotide long non-coding RNA. RefSeq lists it as uncharacterized. The record is from RefSeq and is a predicted model, not a curated record. Lineage: Eukaryota; Viridiplantae; Streptophyta; Magnoliopsida; Caryophyllales; Amaranthaceae. The transcript is spliced from 2 exons.